GACGAACGCUGGCGGCGUGCUUAACACAUGCAAGUCGAACGGAAAGGCCCUGCUUUUGUGGGGUGCUCGAGUGGCGAACGGGUGAGUAACACGUGAGUAACCUGCCCUUGACUUUGGGAUAACUUCAGGAAACUGGGGCUAAUACCGGAUAGGAGCUCCUGCUGCAUGGUGGGGGUUGGAAAGUUUCGGCGGUUGGGGAUGGACUCGCGGCUUAUCAGCUUGUUGGUUGGGUAGUGGCUUACCAAGGCUUUGACGGGUAGCCGGCCUGGGAGGGUGACCGGCCACAUUGGGACUGGGAUACGGCCCAGACUCCUACGGUAGGCAGCAGUGGGGAAGAGUGCACAAUGGGCGGAAGCCUGAUGCAGCAACGCCGCGUGCGGGAUGACGGCCUGCGGGUUGUAAACCGCUUUCGCCUGUGACGAAGCGUGAGUGACGGUAAUGGGUAAAGAAGCACCGGCUAACUACGUG
Molecule: ribosomal RNA, 468 nt
Filed under: uncultured bacterium
Lineage: Bacteria
Description: partial 16S ribosomal RNA
Rfam family: Bacterial small subunit ribosomal RNA
Source: RNAcentral